CGGGUAGUAACGGGUAAUCAACCUGCCCUUCAAAGGGGGACAACAGUUGGAAACGACUGUAAUCCCGCAACGAUUUUAACCUGGCAUUGAGGAUGGAUUAAAGGUGGCCUUAUGAUAAGCUAUCACUGAAGGAGGGGAUUGCGUCUGAUUAGCUAGUUGGAGGGGUAACGGCCCACCAAGGCGAUGAUCAGUAGCCGGUCUGAGAGGAUGAACGGCCACAUUGGGACUGAGACACGGCCCAGACUCCUACGGGAGGCAGCAGUGGGGAAUCUUCCGCAAUGGACGAAAGUCUGACGGAGCAACGCCGCGUGAGUGAUGACGGCCUUCGGGUUGUAAAGCUCUGUUAAUCGGGACGAAAGGCCUUCUUGCGAAUAGUUAGAAGGAUUGACGGUACCGGAAUAGAAAGCCACGGCUAA
This 416-nucleotide ribosomal RNA is filed under the name Veillonella parvula. Its description in RNAcentral is "bacterial SSU rRNA". It matches the Rfam family "Bacterial small subunit ribosomal RNA", at positions 100 to 500 of the family's 1533-position model. The record is from RNAcentral. Lineage: Bacteria; Bacillati; Bacillota; Negativicutes; Veillonellales; Veillonellaceae.